Cygnus olor (mute swan) is the source of this 3463-nucleotide long non-coding RNA. RefSeq lists it as uncharacterized. The record is from RefSeq and is a predicted model, not a curated record. The transcript has 2 exons. NCBI's taxonomy places the organism in Eukaryota, Metazoa, Chordata, Aves, Anseriformes, Anatidae.
AAUUAUUCAAAGAAGGCCUUGUCAAAAGUCCUGUCUACCAAAGCAGGAAUUGCACAGUGUCAUUGGAAAAUAAGCUGAGAAAUUAACACUGCUUUCUGAAAUGCAAUGCUAGAAUUUUGAUGUUUUGAUUUUUAUUUAUUUAUUUUUUAAGAUUACAUGUAGCACUUGUCAUGCCCUGCCAGAGCAUGUACCAUACUGGUCUUCUCCUUUUGGACCUGCCCCAUCCAUUGCCAUUUUAUCCUGGAGCAAGAGUCUCAAACACUGAGGGAUAAGAAGAGCGUGUAGUGAGACUUUCCAUAGACCUAGCCAUCUGUUUCUUGGGUGAGCCAGACACAUAUGAAUUCACAGGGAAGUAACCCUGUGGAAUUCAUGAGAAAACAGAAAACAAUUCUAAAAACUGACUAGGAAACCACAAGUUAAACAGGCAGAUUACAUCAGACAGAAGCUUGCAAUAUACAUACCGUAAGGAAUGAAAAAGGAACAAACUGCUUUAUUGUUCAGUGUACUAACACACAAAAGUAUCUGCACAACAGGUGCUUUUUAGUCCUUUUUUUUUUUUUUUUUUUUUUUUUUCUGACAGAAGGAGCAACACCAGGACAAGAGGUUUACUUUACAGGGACCCUCUCUUAUCUUGACCUUAUGUAGCCCAUUACUAGUAAUAUCUGUAAGACAUAUCCAUAAAUAUAUAUAUAUAUAUAUAUAUACACAUAUAUAUAUAUUCAAUUCCAUGAUGAGUAAUACCAUUUAUAACAAAAGGUGGUGGUUAAACUGACAAACAUCCAGAAAUAUAAAGGGUGUUCACAAACACUAGCAGGGACAGGAAGUCUGGAUAGCUAGAGAAAACAGGAUCGUUACCUGUCACAAACAAUGAGGGAAUAUUCCAGAAGGAGAAAACGGGCUGCAAGCUACUACUUGUGGCAUCUGAACCACUUCAUCUGGUUUAUCACUGAGGUUAAGAAUCACUGUGUUUCCCUGGAAAAAGCUGAGGGACCAAACCAGGCAGUGAAAGAUAAAGCCAGUAGGUUCACAAGUAUUCCCAAGAGAAAAUGAUAGGCAAUGAUCCCAAAGCUCUCUAGGCUGCAACCACGUGCCUUGUCAAAAGAAGACAAGGCUUGGGAAAAGGAAGUGAAUUAAAAAUACAAGCACCCUGAAGGAUUACUCCUGUAGUUCUUGUUUGGAGAGCUAACAUUUCAGAGCAAACCACCAUUCCUCAGUUUAACGAAGACUAGGAAGGAUCUGGAAACACUGAUUGCCAUAGAAGGGCUGAACAUAGAGAGAGAAAUUGUGAAAAGCAACAGGGGAAAUCACAAGGUGCUACAUCAUGUAAGAGUUACAAAUAUUCAAGUGUCCUCCUUUUGCACUUGGAGUCUCCAGGCGACAAACUGAAGACAGAGGUCCUAGCACUGAUCCCAGAAUAGCCCAUGUGCUGCCCCUGAUGUGACUCAAGGUAUUGGAGCAUCAUUUAUGCAGAACAGUCUUUCACUGAAUCCAAAUCUUCAGUUAUAACAGAUGUGCUUUUUAUAGUUGAAUCUUAAAAACAAACAAACAAACAAAAACACAUUGACCAAAGCAAUUAUAUAACUGCUCAGGGAUGUGAGCAUUCAAGAUGCCUUACAAUAAUCUGCAUCUAAUUUGGUAAUAAAAUUCUCAGAGAGCUUCAGCAAGUGGAUAGAUUACAGACAUAAAAACAACAAAUCAAAGAAGAGGUUCUAUUACCUCUUCUUAGCUCAUUAGAAUUUAUACCUUAAGAAAUUAAAAGAAAAAAUGAACUGAUAAACCCUCUGGUUCUCUAUGUCAGAAUUUCCUGUGUGUCUCUGAAAGUCGAAUUUUGCAAGCAGCUUUAGGUCUGAGUUUCAGAAGGAAGUUGAAAUCAUGGAAAAUACCUAGAGGUAGAAAAGUACAAUGUGUUUUAUAAUGAUUACAGGAAAAAAAAUCUGUUAUCUAGGAUUCCUAGGUUUGAUUCCUGAUUUUAUCAGAGACUGGCUAAAGACACAUCCAGCUUAGAUGUUUCAACAGCUAAAUAGUUAGAUGCUUGGCCACAGCAAGAUGAUUCAGAGUGCCAGUUAGGAACCUGUCUCCUUUAGUCACUCAGCAAAGAGAUUUUUUUGGGGAUAUGUGUAUUGCCAGGCUCCAAAAAUAGUCACUGGAGACUGAUAGGCUGCUCUUGAGGAUGACUCAGAGCAAAAGCAUUAGACAGUUAUUCCUGUAAUCACACUCUGGAGGAGCCCAACUCUCAUUGUCUAUUAGAGACAAAGCACAUAAGUAUCGCUGAGUUACCUGGCCCCAGCACAGUCCAAGGGGAACCAAACUCUCCCCUUCUGUGGAAGCCCGGGCAGCCAAGGACAUUGCCAUGUCAGAUGCAGGCUUGAACUUCCCCUUGAGCCUCCACUGCCCUGGAUGCCCAGAUGGCCUCUCUGCUGGCUGCAGCUGACACAAGCAGGGGACAAGCCUGCUCUCUGCACAGGGCCACCAGGAAAAGAAAUGUGACUCCGCUCUGGAUCUGAGCUACGGCUCCAUGGCUGACAGGAGUGGGCUUGAUCUGAAACAUCUGACCCAGGAAGGGUCAUUCCAGCCUGGGUACCCAGAAUGGAGCAGGCAGGAAUUAUGGGGCCAUAGAGAGUAAGCCAAAGGAUAGCUUAGCUAGCAUGGCACUCACUGUAGCAGUCAUGAACCUCAAUGAGUUUCCACUUAUGCAGGUUUCUGACAUGCAUCUGGUUUUGUGAAACUCCUCCCAAGAGCAGAAGCAGGCAUUUCAAGACUAGACUGUGACUCGGUACAACAAAGCAGUCCUAGGAGCUGCCCAGGGAUGCAGUGCUUUGCUAGUGCCAUAGGCUUCACAACCAGAGUAACUACAGCUGCACCCACGCAGACCAAGAAGUGCUGGCCUGUGCUUCUCCAAGAGCUGCACUGCUUGAGCUGCACCACGCCAGGAGAAUGGAUGAAGUUGGUGCAAGCCUCUGUGAUCACACUGUCUGUCUCUCUCUGCAAAUGCUUGCUAUGUCCAAAUAUGAAGAAAUAUUUCUGUUGCCAUAUUGUUCAUUUUCAAAGGUUACACAGAUUUGCACAGAACAUAUUUUCAGUGCUCUGAAUGUGUUGAAGGGGCUAAAUUUGCGUAUUUUUGUUUCUAGAAUAAACUAUUCACAGUCUUAUGGAUCUCAACAUUUAAGAAUCUUUUUUUUUCCAUUUAUGAAAUCAGUAAACUUUUCUUGUUUUCAUUUUCUUAUGCACCAUAGCUUUACACAUUAAUUUUUGAUUUAUUAGCACCCUUAGCUGUUAACUCUUUAAAACUGAGUUACAGAAACAAAAUCACUUUCUGAGUAGUAAGUCCUUAUAGACUGUGGAAAACUGUUGAUAACAGUAUAGCAGUACUGAUGUAAAUAUAUAUAUACAGUAUUUUCUGUGUGGUUAGACUACAGUCCAGAAAUCUCUCAGUGUAGUCUCUUUCAAAGGUACAUGCCCCCCC